UUCCGGUUGAUCCUGCCGGAGGUCAUUGCUAUCGGAGUCCGAUUUAGCCAUGCUAGUCGUGCGAGUUCACACUCGCGGCACCGAGCUCAGUAACACGUGGCCAAACUACCCUACAGAGACGGAUACCCUCGGGAAACUGAGGCUAACCCGUCAUACCGAUCUCAGGCUUGAACUGCAGAGAUCACUAAAUGCCCCGGCGCUGUAGGAUGUGGCUGCGGUUGAUUAGGUUGACGGUGGGGUAACGGCCCACCGUGCCCAUAAUCAGUACAGGUUGUGAGAGCAAGAACCUGGAGACGGAAUCUGAGACAAGAUUCCGGGCCCUACGGGGCGCAGCAGGCGCGAAACCUUUACACUGCACGCACGUGCGAUAAGGGGACUCCGAGUGCGAGGGCAUAUCGUCCUCGCUUUCGUGUACCGUAGGGUGGUACACCAACAAGGGCUGGGCAAGACCGGUGCCAGCCGCCGCGGUAAUACCGGCAGCCCGAGUGAUGGCCGAUCUUAUUGGGCCUAAAGCGUCCGUAGCUGGCUGCGCAAGUCCGUCGGGAAAUCCACUCGCCCAACGAGUGGGCGUCCGACGGAAACUGCACAGCUUGGGACCGGAAGGCUCGAAGGGUACGUUCGGGGUAGGAGUGAAAUCCCAUAAUCCCGCACGGACCACCGAUGGCGAAAGCACUUCGAGAAAACGGAUCCGACAGUGAGGGACGAAAGCCAGGGUCUCCAACCGGAUUAGAUACCCGGGUAGUCCUGGCCGUAAACAAUGUUCGCUAGGUAUGACACAGACUACGCGUCUCUGUUGUGCCGUAGGGAAGCCGAGAAGCGAACCGCCUGGGAAGUACGUCUGCAAGGAUGAAACUUAAAGGAAUUGGCGGGGGAGCACUACAACCGGAGGAGCCUGCGGUUUAAUUGGAUUCAACGCCGG
This 919-nucleotide ribosomal RNA is filed under the name uncultured archaeon. RNAcentral's name for it is "bacterial SSU rRNA". It matches the Rfam family "Archaeal small subunit ribosomal RNA", at positions 1 to 921 of the family's 1478-position model. The record is from RNAcentral.